GGACGCCGUGCGUGGCGGGAGGUGCUUCUGUGCUGACCGUGUUGGACGCUUAAGCCUGACGGCUACGUACCCUAAUCCACCAUAAAGAAGAAGCAGAAGUAUUGCCCGUGUCUGCCCGAAAGACUGGACAUCACCAGACGUCAGUGGCUCAUCAGAUCGGCCCGAUACCGAGAGGAUCUAUCGACACCGCGUGUCCUAUCGAGGGCUACGGUCGGCCGACACUCACGGAUGUCACCGGCCGCCGUGACGUCAUCCCAGGCAGCCACGUGACGUCACCGGGAGAUUAGCGCGCCUCCCGGAGGUAUUGAGUUACACCGGAGGCGACACAACUAUAGUGUGUAGUAUUACUCGUCCGAAAAACAAACACCCGAUACUUUU
Amphibalanus amphitrite is the source of this 378-nucleotide long non-coding RNA. RefSeq lists it as uncharacterized. The record is from RefSeq and is a predicted model, not a curated record. The transcript is spliced from 2 exons. Lineage: Eukaryota; Metazoa; Arthropoda; Thecostraca; Balanomorpha; Balanidae.